Molecule: non-coding RNA, 12048 nt
Organism: Monodelphis domestica (gray short-tailed opossum)
Lineage: Eukaryota; Metazoa; Chordata; Mammalia; Didelphimorphia; Didelphidae
Source: RefSeq, a predicted model, not a curated record
GGAAAGGAAGGGAAGGAAAAAUGGGGUUUGACUUUAAACUGUGAGGUCCCUUCCAACUCCUAUGAUGGUAUGAUCUAACAGGAUCCAGAAAACCUACCAUGCCUCAAAAUGGCUCCCUUACUCAAGGACCUACCCCGACACUUUUGGACAAUAAUUCCUUUGCUUUAAGAGUGGACUUUUUCAAGUUCUUUCUUGAAAAAUGCAAAUGCUCUUGAAAAGAAGGAUGUUCUGAAAAGAUGGGAAAGGUCCCUUAGGGAGACAUUUCUCCUCUUCCUAGAGGAGUGACAGAGAUGACCAAAGACAAACUUGUAUCUGUUUUACAACUUUGCCAUAGGCUGGCCUUAGUAAGAAAAUAGUUGGGCCAAGUGUACCAACCUCUGCCUUGCUCCAAAACCCAGAAAGAAAGAAGGAGAGGAAAGAAUGCUUGGAGUCAGAAGGAGGAGUGUUGUUCAAGGAAGAACAGGAAAGCCAGGGUCACUGGAUUGAAAAAUACAUGAAAGGGAUUUUUCUGGGUUUUUUUUUUAAUUAGUUUAAUUUUUAUUUUUCUCAUCUGCAGCAUUUGAGAGUUGAAGCAGUUGAUCCUAAAGGUCCACUCCAGGUCUAAAACUUCAUGCCACACUGUACUCAUGUGCAUAUACCAACAAGCCUGAAAGUUUUCUUCUGGUGUGUACCCAAGACCUCCUGGGAGUGAAUGUGCCAUCAGUUUGUGUUCUCAGGGGCAGCCAGACAAUAGUAGUGCCUCCCACCAAACCACAACAGUACAGACGAUUCUCAGCUGGCCAGAUCUAUUGUCUUUUUUUUUUCUAACUUUGGUUUGACUAUAUAAGGACAGGACUCUUGUGUUCUUGCUUCCUAGCAGGUGGACCAGCCAAACCCAUUCCUUUUUCUAGUUUCCCAGAAACCCUUGCUGGCCACCCAUCCUUUGGAAAACUGAAAAGAGAGUGUCAAUACUCUUUUGGAGAAGCCAGGAACUGGGAGCUACCUUCUCCCCUCCCCUUGUGAAAAUCCAAACCAGACAAUUGUGCAGGUUCCAGAAGGCUCCUAAAAAUAGCCCAAGUAGAAGGCCAUUACUGAAAAAGUAAAUAGUUACAUUAAGGGAAGCAAGUACAGGAGGCAAAUUGUGUAAAUCACUUUAAAAGAGAACAAGCCUCUGGUAACAUCUAGUCUUUUAUCACAUAGAUUAAGCCUUCUUUUUGACACUAAAUAAUUGAUUGGGCCUGGCUGAAUGCUUUGCAGCUGCAUUUGGCCAAAGCCCUGGGACUCCUCUCCAGGUCAGGCAGGUGGAAGGUGGAUGGCCUUGAAUGCCAAUGCCUUCACCCAAGCCUGGGUCCCAGCCACUGAGAGAUAGGAAUUAAAAUAUCAGAGCAGCCAAGAUGAAAUCUGGGAGCCCUCUUUUAUGGGGAAUCCAAUUUUCUGGGCAGUAGAAAAUAAUUUUCUGCUUUUUGGAAGGUUUCAUUUUGUUUUUUAUAAAUCAAGAAAAUCCAGGUUGAUUUCUGAGUUGACAAAGCUAGAAGCAUGAAGAUCAUUGUCAAAAGAGUCUUGGGGGUGGGGGAGAGAAAUGGAAAAUUCUUCAUCAUUCUCAUUGCCACCCUCAACAUCAUAGUGGUUCAGUAGAAAGAAUGCUAAGUUUAAAGUGAUGGAUGUGAGUUCAAAUCUCUGCCAGAGGGGCAAAUCACUUAACCCCUAUAAGCCUCAGUGUUUUCAUCUGUAAAAUGAAAGGAUUAGACUAGAAAAUCUCAAAGACUCUUCUAGCACUCAGCUUCAGUGGUCAUUUUCAUAGCUGACAUUUGCACAGAGCUUCUAGAAUUUGUAGUAGGUUUUACAUACAUGAUCUCAUUUGGAUUUGACCUCCAAAGUUCCUUCCAAAGCUAUGGUCCUACUACUUACUGUCUGGGGCAGUAGGUGGUACAGAGGGUACUGGGCUUGAAAUCAGAAAGAUUCGUCUUCGUGAGUUUAAAUCUGAUCUCAGACACUUACUAGCUGUGUGUCCCUGGGCAAGCCACUUUACCCCAUUUGACUCCAUUUCCUCAUCUAUAAAAUGAGCUGGAGAAGGAAAUGGCAGACCAUUCCAGUAUCUUUGCUAAGAAAAUAGUAAAUGGGGUCCAAAGAGUCAGACCCAAGGAAAUGAUUGAAUAACACACUACGUAUAUAUCCUAAGAACUCUUUUCAGGUAGGUGUUGCCCUCAUCUUCAUUUUAAGGUUGAGGAAAUUGAAGGUUAGAGAAAUGGAGUAGGACUACAGUGGCAGAGCUUAAACCCAGAUCUUCUGGUUCAAAGACUAAGACUCUAGUAGUUGCCACUUUUAUUGGAAAGAAAAAAAGGAUGCAAACAUUUAUUAAGUACCUGCUAAGUAUUAGGCAAUGUAGUAAGCACUUGACCAAGAUUAUCUCAUUUGAUUCUUACAACAACCCUGGGAGGGAGGUGCUAUUAUUAUCCCCAUUUUACAGUUGAGGAAACUGAGGCAGACAGCAGUUAAGUAACUUGUUCAAGGUCACAAUGCUAGUAAAUGUCUGAGUCUGGAUUUUACUUCUGUCAGAGCUCAGGAUUUUGGUCCACUGCUCUUUUCUUCAUGUCAUGGUACAUGGUGUCACUUGACUAUUGAUGCCUGUGACAUAUUCUAUGAGUCUGUGGAUAGUCUGUGGAUAGAAUCAGGAAUCAAGCAGGAUGGAAGGGGGCUGGGAAAUCUCAGCUGUCAUGAGAACAACUGCUGAAGGUUAGAGAAGCUUUGUCUCCUUUCCCCUUACUCGAUAAUGGAAGGCUAAGAAGCAGAACCCCAGUAACACUGGCAAGCUGGAAAAUUUAUCUUCCAUCAAUCAGUGCAUAUUUUAACAUCUCCUAUGCCUGAGGUGCUGGAGAUAGAAAAAAGCAUGGAAUGAAUACAUAAUCCCAAUCUGCAAGGGCUUUAAUCUUGAUGCAAAUGAAGAAGCUACCACUUGGUGGAAAAGACAUAGGACCAGGAAUCAAGAAAGCUCUGAGUUCAAAUGUUUCCUGAGGCACUUACUGACUGUGUGACUCUAGGCAAUUCACUUAACCUGUCUGUCUCAGUUUCUUCAUCUAAAAAAUGAGUUUAAUAAUACUUUUCAGGGUUGUUGUGGGAAUAAAAUAGAUAAACUUUGUAUGCUUUGCAAUUUGUUUUAGUUGCAUCUGACUUUUGUGACCGCGUUUGGGGUUUUCUUCUACAUGUGUUUGUAAGCAUGUAUGUAUAUGUAUAUGUAUAUAUAUAUAUAUGUAUAUGUAUAUGUAUAUGUAUAUGUAUAUGUAUGUAUUCUUAUAGGGGCAGCUCAGUGGUGCAGUGAAUAGAAUGCUGACCCUGGAGACAGGAGGACCCAUAUUCAAGUCCAGCCUUAGACAUUUACUAGCUGCAUAAUCCUGGGCAAGUCCCUUAGCCUUGUUUGCCUCGGUUUCCUUAUCUGUAAAAUGAGCUGGGGAAGGAAACAGCCAAUCACUCUAAUACCUUUGCCAAGAAAACCCCAUGAAGAGUGAGGCAUGAUUGCAGCAACAAAACAGUGACAACAAAAGUAUGUAUAGAUAUACACACACAAGCACACAUACAGAGUUAUGCAUAUGUGUGUGAGAUAAAUGGAAGGGAAUCUCAGAGGGAAGUCACUAGCACUUGAUGGGACCAGAAAAGACCUCGGGGAGAAGGUGGAAUUUGAGCACUCUUGAAAGGAUGCCAAGAAAGCUAGGAAUUAGAGGUGAGGAGAGAGAACGUUAGAGGGCUAGAGGAGUGCCAGAGGAAAGGAACAGAGACAGGAGAUGGAGUAUCAGGAACAAGGAACAAUUAGGAGGCUGGUGUGGCUGCAUGGUGGGAUAUGUGGAGGGGAGCAGGGCAUAAAGAAAACUGGAAAGGUGAGACGGGGCCAGGCUGUGAAGAGCUUUGGAUGCCAAAGAGAGAUUUUAUGUUUUAUUUUGGAGGCAAUAAGGAGCCAGUGAAGUUUACUGACUGCAAAGUUGACAUGAUGGAACCUGUGCUUUAGGGGGAAAAUAUCCCUUUGGUAGGUGAGGGGAGGAUGGAAUGGAGAGGGGGAGAGACUUGGGGCCAGGAAACUAACCAGAAGGAUUUCUUGAGAUUCCAUGGGUAUGGGGCGUGGAGAAAAGGACUUGUAUACAAGAGAUGUAGGACAUACCCUGGAUUUUUAUUCUGAAAAAAAUUCAGAUUGUCUUAUAUUCCAGGUUGAUUCGCUCCCAAUCGAGUUACAGUAAUAAAUUCCCCAAACUCCAGAAGUAUGUUCUGGCUUGAAUUCCUUGAUUUGUUUUCAGAAAUGGUUUUUUGAAUGUAAGUCUCUGCUUUCCUCCUUGAGGCUGGAAAGCCUUUUCAGACAGUUCCAAGCCUGCUAAUGCUUCCAAAAUACCUGAAAUGUGUUAGGCAGAAACACACGUUGUAGCCUAAAGUGCUACCAGCUCAAUUCAGUUCAACAAUAAUAGACUUUCUUCCCCAGACAAAAUUUCUUGAGUAUCUUUAGUAUCAGUACAGGGCAGUGUACUUUGUCUUUGUGCUGAGGGACUUGUUCCUUUAUUUUUAGAUUUUGUGAUGAACAAAAUUAAACACUCUGGAGAGGGUUGUUUGCAGUGGGAUUCUGGGAGUGGUGAUAGAGUUGGAGUUGUAGUGAGAUUCUGGAGGGGGAUUGCAGUGGGAUUCUGGAGGAACACUGCAGUGGGAUUUUGGAAGAAGAUUAGAGUCUGAACCCUAGAGGGAGUUUAUAAUAUGAGUCUAGAGAGGAAUUAUGGGAGGGAUUUAAGUGUAAUUCUUAUGGAGAGUUGAAUUGGGAAUCUGGCAGGUGACUCUUUGAAUUCUGAAUUGAAACAUCCAUCCAGGAUCCAGGAUAUUUUGAAAUAUUUUGGAAUAUUUUGAAUUUUAGAAGACUAGCUCAAGUAUUGGCUAUUUGGAGGGCAUGAUUGGAAAUUAGUAAAAUGUGGUUCUUUUCUAGGUCACUGCUACUUGCCUAAGGAGAUAGAUAGCUUCUGUGGGCCUCCAUUUCUCUUUCUGUCAAAUGGCCUAAGAGCUUGUCCCAGUUUUAGUAAAAUGAAAACAGAAACUGCUUAUCUUUGUGACUUAAGAAGAUUGAAAAAUUAUGUUAUUAAAUGAGGUUGAUUUUGAGCCAUUCAACAUGCCACUGUGUCAUGGCCAAUGUCUUUCAGUGGGUAACUAAGGCUCCAUUUGGUCUCAGUGGCCCUUGGCUAAGAAUUCCAGAGGAUGAUUGUGAUGAAACAAAGUUUAUGGUAGUUCUUUUCAGCCACGCUUUCCCACUCCAAUCCCAAGGACCUGUUUUUCUCCCAUCUUAUUCAAUUCAACAUUUAUGAAGUGCCUAUGUUUUCCAAUACCAUGUAAAAGAGGACUCGAGGCCUGUCUUGACCCAGCUGGAUAUGGUCUCAUAGACCUUCUAGAGGUCUUCCUUGGUUUGAAUUCGUAACCCUUAACAGACGGACUGCGGCGGGUCUUUAACCUGGGCUGCAAAUCACCAGCGAUGAGAUGUACAAGCCUGACUGAGGCACUGUAGUGCAUCUGAUGGAGGAAAUGCCUGUGUGGGUUCCCCCCACCCACCUCCCCUUUUGUUUCAGCUCAAGCCCCUCACACUGUCUAGAGCCUACAUAAAACGAUCAAGAAAUAUUUGUUAGACAUACCUGCCAUGCAAAGCACUGUGUGGGAUGUAAGAGAAACUACAGGAAGUCUCUUCCCUUAAAUACUUGUGGUCUGGCUUUAGGGAGAAGAUGAAUACUCAGGAAAAAAUAACUAGCAGUAUGAGGCCAUUAGGUGCCAAGCAUCAAAUGGUUGGUUAUUAGGAUCUCCCCUGGAAGGGAUCAUAGAGAUAAGUCAUUAAGCCCAACUCCAUGCUAGGGAUGAAGUGACUGAGGUACAGGGGCUAAGAGACUUGCCCAAGGUAUAGUUAUCCAUGCUAUGGGAAUUCAGAAGAGACAAAAAUCACUCAACGAGGGGAGUAAGGAAAGUUUUCAUGAAGAAAAUGGAACAUAAAUGGGUUUUAAAGGGUAAGAGAGAAGGAUAUUUUGCACAUAGUUGGUUUUAUUGAGUGAAUGGAUGCUGAGAUCCAGAUGGAUGGAACACAUCUUGGGCAAAGACCAGAAGUAAGAAUGAUUGAGCUAUGUCCACAAUGGUCUGGUUGGAGUUUGUAUUAGAUAGUAAUGGGGGCUAGGUGAUUCAGUGGAUUGAGAGCCAGGCCUAGAGACUCAGAGCCAGGCCUAGAGACUCCUAAAUUCAAAUCUGGCUUCAGACACUUCCUACCUCUGUGACCCCGGGAAAGUCACUUAAUUACCUUUGCCUAGCCCUUGCUGCCUUGGAAUCAAUACUCAAUAUUGAUUAAAAAACAGAAAGUAAGGGUUGAUGAAAAAAAAAAGAUAGUUAACAAGAGAUAUCCAUUUUGUAUGGUUCACAAAACUAACUCCAGGUCUGUGUGGAAGUAGUACCAGUUAUCAGUCUAUGACAGUGAUGGCGAACCUUUUAGAGACCCAAACUGUACCCUCACACCACAGGGGAGCCAUCCCUUUAGCUCAGACAGGGGAGGGAGGAAGAACUCCCAUUGGGCUGCAGCACAGAGCAUGUGAAGAUGUCCUCAGGGGCAGUGGAGAGGGGAAAGGGAGCAGCCUUCUCUAGCACACGUGCCAUAGGUUCGCCAACGUGAUCUAUGAGAAUAAGAUAACCAUUAUCGCCCUUAGGGUUGUGUAUAUGCUUUACUGAGCAAGUAGUCUCCUGACAAACCAAUGCUGCUGCUUCUGGAUGUAAGGAACUAGCAAAACUAGUCUCUAAGCAGGAGUCAAUCAAUCAACAUUUAUUAAAUGUCUGCUCUAUGCCAAGCACCGUUCUAAGCUUUAGGAAACCAAAUAUAAAAAGGAAAUACAGUCCCUGCCCUUAAGGAGUUUAUGGAUGGGGGAAGACAAAACACAAAAAGAAGUUGAAAAGCUGAGAAUGGUCAGGAGGAAAGUUACCCUGCACAAGGAAUGGUAGAAAAAUUCAAAGAAGUGUAACCUGAUGGGAAAUACAGAUGGCUGGUGUGGCUUACCUUCUCAGAUGGAGAUUUUGGUAGAAGCUCUUCUCUCUGCCCUCCAAUCAGAGGGAAGAGGGUACUGAUGAGGUGUGAGUACCAAGGUUGAUUUGGUGUUGGAGAAUGAUGAAGUGACUGAUGAGGAGGUGGGGUAGGGGAAGGUGAGGGACAAUAAUGGAGAACUCCAAAGGAGUGUAACCAAGUGGGAAAUGUAAGUACACUCUGUCCUUUGGAGAAAGUGACUCCAGGGAGUCCUAUGCUUGUUUGCAUUUGCUAAAGAACCCCAACUUUUAGAAUAGGAUAUUGGGAACACUAAAAUGGAUUCUCAGAAUGGCAGGCCACAGGUUGGCAUCUUGAUAGGUCAGAUCACCUUCUUGUCUCUUUUAUUUGUGUAUCCCACCAGGAAAACUACCAAAGAGGUAGAUUAAUCCAUCUGGCACUAGGCACAAUCCCUUCUUUUGGAUUAUAGGAUUUAGAGCUGAAAGGAACCUUAAGACACAGCUAUUCCAAUGUACUAUUUUGCAGGUGAGGUAGUUGAGUUCCAGAGAGUCUUAAGUGAUUUACUCCAGGUCACAGAAGUAGUAAGUUGCAGAGCUGGGGCCUGAACCCAGUCCUGACUCAAAAUUCUCUAUUGAUCUCAUUAUUCGGGAGAAAAAAUUUACUAUUUUGUGAAAAAUGAAAAUUUCAUUUAGUGAUUACCAACUUUUCUCAAAUUCAUUUCCCUUUUCUUAUAAUCAUUUUUACAUAAAUUCCAAUCUUUUCUUUUAUUAUUUCCUGACUCCCCUUUUUCGUUUAGAAUUUUGAAAUUUCUUCUGUUCUUUAAAAGUACCAUUGAGCUUAUUUUUAUAUUUCAUAUUCAAUUUACAUAUUAAAAUAUAUCAAGAUUUUAGAAAGACUUGGAAUAAAUUAAUGGCCUGUUUUCUGUUUACAAAGUACCAUAAUUUUGAAAAAUAAGCUUGAUACCAUGUUUUUAAAAAUCAUGAGCUAUGAGACAAAACUGUAAAAAUCAGUGGUGUCUGGAUGCCCCAGAGGGACUUAAUCAGCCUGUGCUAUGAGGCCAGCUCUGUGUAAGUUCCCUGCCUGGCUUUCCUCUUCUCUAAAAUACAGGUAUUCAUAUGGCAGUUAAGCCAAACACACACAAGGCAGAGUUGCACUUGGAUAAAGUGAUUUCUCUCUUACUUACUGCUGCUGAGCGUGGGAGAAAGCAAGCAGCUAUUGAAUUGAAGCCCAAUGAUCGUGGGCCUGGGAAGCAAAGAAAGAUGUUCUGCAAAUUCCCCCAGAACACAUGUGUGGCAGGAGAGAAGUCAGCCCGCCAGCCAUAAAUUAUGAGCAGCCAUUUGGAUUUAAACAACCUCCUAGUCUCGAGCCUGUCAUUUGGUGUUGCCAUUUGGGUGAAGACUUCUUUCUUAAAGAAGAAAAUAUGGUUUGCCUCUUCAGCUUGCCCCUCUGAACUAAUGUGAGCAACGGUUAUGAUGAAUGGUCUGGGCUGACCUUUCCGACUAGCAAGGACUAGUCUGUCUCUCUCUGCUCCGGGCCAAAUGUCUCAGACACUUAGUGGAGACAAAGCCUGGAGUAAGGCCAGGCCAGAAAAGGUUUGUCUUGUUAGAUGUAAAAAUUGGUUAAAUGCUUACAGAUUUGUGCGAUGGGCUCUGGGAAAGUUUAUGGGUCUCCCUUAUUCCUAAAAGAGGCUAGGUAUCAACUCUUGAUGGGAAUCUGGCACUUUUUAUUCUGUUCUUUCUGGUUCAUUGUUGCACAAGUAUUACCUUUUUAUCUAUAGUAUACUAAAAAGGUAGCUGAGAGCCUCCAGUGCUUUGGGUAGCUCCCCCUUGGGGAGAUUUUUGGCAGCCCUCAACCAGAAUGAAAAGACUUGCUAUCCACCACAACCCAGAGAAUGUAAAAUCACACUGAUGAAAUCAUGGCCCCACCAAAGUAUCUCAGGGAAUUGUUUGUCUUGGUCUUAUCUUCCCAACUAGAUUUAAGUUCCAAAAGACCAGGUCUGAUAUAGAGAUGGUUAAUCUUAAUGGAUUAAUUCAUUUCUUUUUCUUUCUUUUUUGGUGAAUGAACCCUUACCUUCCAUCUUAGAAUUAAUACUGUGUAUUGGUUGCAAGGCAGAAGAGCAGUAAGAGCUAGGCAAGAGAGGUUAAGUGACUUGCCCAGGGUCACACAGCUAAGAAGUGUCUGAGACCAGAUUUGAACCCAGGACCUUCCAUCUCUAGGCCUGAUUCUUAAUCUUCAGAAAAUCCAGGAAAGGAGUCAGCAUUUUUUUGCUCACUCACAGGAUAAUUCAAAAGGAAAAAUCCAAGAGAAAUAUGAGAUCCCAAGCUGGAGCUCCUUCAAGAUCAAGAAAAAGGCAAAAGACCUCUUCUUAGGAGCCAUCUAGCUGUCCCCAAUUAAUUAAUUUCUUAAAUAAUCCACCUCUUCCAAAAGGAAGACAGGGAGAAGUGAUAAAACUCGAAUUAGGCAGUUUCAUAGAAUCACAGACUUUUGGAGAUGGAGGAAAAUUUAGAGAUUAUUACAUACAACCCUUCCAUUUCACAGAUGCAAAAAAGUGAUCUCUGAAAGAGAGAUAAAAUUGCUUGCUAGUCAGAGGAAGAGCUUGAACAAAAAUCUAGGUAUCCUGAUCCUCAGUGCUUCCUCUCAAACUUCUGCCCUCUCCCCUUUGCCAAUUAGGUCAUUUGGCAAUAUUUCUAAUCAGAAUGUGAGUGGAAAGAGUUAAAACUAUGAAUUCAGAGGAGGCAUGGUGUUUAUUUCUGAAUUUCAUUAAUACAGGUUCCCUAUGGCUUCCUUUUUGAGAAAUAUCAGUGAACAGAGAUGUCCUCGGGCAUAGACAGAGUAGCUAGUAGCAGGUCUCUCCUAUUCUUAGAAUAUCUUCACUACCAUUCUAUCUUUGUACCCAUUAUUCUACUACUAGAGAUCCACCCUUGCUUGGUCUUGAAGUCUAAAUGGUCUUCUAUCAACAUGCAGGUAUCCUAGAGAAGAGUAUCUCCCUACCAUCUAAUAGUGAAAUGGGGAUGGAAUGGACAGGAAAAGAGAUAGGAUCAGAGCUGGGCUUCCCAGGACAGAGGAGGAGAAAGGGGAGAUGGUGCUAAUGACAAACUUGGGCUGUUUCAUACUUUUUCCCAAGGCCAGUCUGACCAGUGUUUAUUGAUAAGAAUAGAAAUUACCAUAAUUUUAUAGCCUGUUAGCCAUACAUGACUUCAUUUUAUCCUCAGGACCACUCUGUGAGUAGCAAUAAUAGCCAACAUUUAUCUUGUGCUUACUAUGUGCCAGGCACUGUGGGAAGAACUUUGAGGUUCUAAUCUCAUUGGAUCCUCCUUACAACUUUGGGAAGUAGGUGCCAUGAUUAUCUCUUUUUUUACAGAGUGGGUUAUAAAAAUAAUAUAAUCAGAGGUGUCCUGGUAAAUGUUUAAUAACCAGUUUGGGAUGAGGGAUAGAAUGUAUCUACAGCAAUACACUUUUACAUUUAAUCUGCAUCAUGAAAAUUUUCUCCAAACCUGAGUCUAGAAAAGCUAUUAAACAACAAAUCAAGCUCUGAUCUGUAGUUUUUGCUGAUUUUCAAAGUAUGUUUACAUGCUCACACUGAAAUUUAACCAUCGCCUCUUGUGAGCCAAUUCAAGAUGGCUCCAGUAUACCAUUGGGCAUGAAAGUGAUAUAGCUUCUGUUUGCAGAUAAAGACACAAAGGGUAAAAGAAGUAACCCAGAUUUUUCAGGCUCACAUAGCUGGUGCAGGUGGUAAAGUCAGGUCUUUUGAUUCCAAAUGCAGCAUUCUUUUUAUCACAUUCAAGGACUGUAUGGUAUACUCUCAUUGCCUUCUUCAUCAUCUUUCUUCCAAAGUGAUUUUGCAUAGACAUAGUAUGAACUUAAUAAAAUUUUCUGAAUGCCAUUGGUGAAUUAUUUCUAAAUAAGAGAAUUUUCCAAAUAAUUGAAGCUUACUUUUUAAAUACAAAAUUAAAAAAAAAGAAGUCAACAUUUUAUCAUAAACUUCGUGGUCUUCUUCAACAUAUAAUACAGAAUAUAAUGAAAUUUUUUGUGACUCAGGCUUGUCAUUAUGAAUGUCAGUGAUUGUGCUGUAAUACAAUCAUACCUUUUAGAACUGCAGUUUCUGCAGAACUGUUUGCCCUAACACUGAAUGGCCCCACACCAUUAUGUUCUUCUACUAUUUGUAAUUAUUCUGUCUUUUCCAUUGCUUUCAAGCUGUGAUUUUACUUCUCGCCAUCAUUAUUGUGCUUGUCUGUAAUAGUUUCCCUCUUCCUAAUCUGUGAUUUCUAAUAUGGUUACAUAUGAAAGACCAGAUUAAAAAACUUGUUAGAAUAUAAAAUAAGAGUAAAUAGCUUUGAAAUCAAGGGCUAAGAAUCCUGUGAAUAAAGGUCAUGAACUUGAUCAAGUGAAAAAAAAAAUUAACCCUUACCUUCCAUCUUAGAAUCAAUAUUGUGUAUUGGUUCCAAGGCAGAAGAGCAGUAAGGGCUAAGCAACUGGGGUCAAAUGGCCUGUCCAGAAUCACAUAACUAGGAAGUGUCUGAAGUCACAUUUGAACUCAGGAUCUCCUAUCUCUUAGUCUGGCUCUCAAACCAUGAGUCACCUACCUGACCCCAUCAAAUAAACUUUUUGACAGAUAUUUUGUAUUAUUAUGAAAGUUUUUUAUUACUAAUAGAUUUUAGAUAUUGAAAUGACUUUGUAACUUCUUAGUAAAUUCAGUAUCAUUAUUAGUGUUCCUUAGUUGGGCAGAAAUGCCAAUCAACAUAGAAUUCCAAUGGAUGGGAUAUAGAAUAACUGUGAUUCAUUUCUGUGUUCUUUCUUUUCUUUUUUUUUUUUGCUGAGGGGAAAAAGAUGGAGAUGUGUCAGGGGUAAAAGAUUGCAUAUUUAUUCACAUAUAUUUAGUAAAUAACCUUUUAUUUGUGCCUAUUCACUGUAAGAAAGAAAAAAAUAUGACUUGAUUCUUCCAUUUAAAAAGGGAUGUGUGUGUGUGUGUGUGUGUGUGUGUGUGUGUGUGUGUGUGUGGAGAGAGAGAGAGAGAGAGAGAGAGAGAGAGAGAGAGAGAGAGAGAGAGAGAGAGA